CCUACGGGUGGCUGCAGUAGGGAAUAUUGCACAAUGGGGGAAACCCUGAUGCAGCGACGCCGCGUGAGCGAUGAAGUAUUUCGGUAUGUAAAGCUCUAUCAGCAGGGAAGAAAAUGACGGUACCUGACUAAGAAGCCCCUGCUAACUACGUGCCAGCAGCCGCGGUAAUACGUAGGGGGCAAGCGGUAUCCGGAUUUACUGGGUGUAAAGGGAGCGUAGACGGCUGUGCAAGCCAGAUGUGAAAGCCCGGGGCUCAACCCCGGGAGUGCAUUUGAAACUGGGUGGCUGGAGUGUAGGAGAGGCAGGCGGAAUUCCUAGUGUAGCGGUGAAAUGCGUAGAUAUUAGGAGGAACACCAGUGGCGAAGGCGGCCUGCUGGACGAUGACUGACGUUGAGGCUCGAAAGCGUGGGGAGCAAACAGGAUUAGAUACCCUAGUAGUC
This 440-nucleotide ribosomal RNA is filed under the name uncultured bacterium. RNAcentral's name for it is "partial 16S ribosomal RNA". It matches the Rfam family "Bacterial small subunit ribosomal RNA", at positions 338 to 795 of the family's 1533-position model. The record is from RNAcentral.